CCCAAGGCUCGUAGUUUAUGCCAUAGUAGUGUUCUAUUUACGGUAUCAAACGCUUUUCGCAUGUCGAUAAAGCAUACAUGUGUGGACAGUCGAGAUAUUUUUCUAUCGUUCAAAGUCAGGUAUAACGCUUGGAUGUGUUCUUCACAACUUCUACCCUUGCGGAAGCCAUUUUGUUCUUCGCAUAAAUGAUCGUUAUCUUCUA
This 202-nucleotide long non-coding RNA is filed under the name Mytilus galloprovincialis (Mediterranean mussel). Lineage: Eukaryota; Metazoa; Mollusca; Bivalvia; Mytilida; Mytilidae. The record is from RNAcentral.